This 376-nucleotide ribosomal RNA is filed under the name uncultured bacterium. RNAcentral describes it as "bacterial SSU rRNA". It matches the Rfam family "Bacterial small subunit ribosomal RNA", at positions 524 to 898 of the family's 1533-position model. The record is from RNAcentral.
UACAUAGGGUGCAAGCGUUGUCCGGAUUUAUUGGGCGUAAAGAGUUCGUAGGCGGUUUAUCGCGUCGGGUGUGAAAACUCAGGGCUUAACCCUGAGCCUGCACUCGAUACGGGUUUACUUGAGGACGGCAGGGGAGACUGGAACUCCUGGUGUAGCGGUGGAAUGCGCAGAUAUCAGGAAGAACACCAAUGGCGAAGGCAGGUCUCUGGGCCGAUUCUGACGCUGAGGAACGAAAGCGUGGGGAGCAAACAGGAUUAGAUACCCUGGUAGUCCACGCCGUAAACGGUGGAUGCUAGGUGUGGGAAACAUUAACGUUUUCUGCGCCGCAGCUAACGCAUUAAGCAUCCCGCCUGGGGAGUACGGCCGCAAGGCUAAA